Molecule: ribosomal RNA, 431 nt
Filed under: uncultured metazoan
Lineage: Eukaryota; Metazoa
Description: SSU rRNA
Rfam family: Eukaryotic small subunit ribosomal RNA
Source: RNAcentral
UUACCUGGUCCGGACAUCAAAAGGAUAGACAGACUGCCAGAUCUUUCUUGAUAUGGUGAUUGGUGGUGCAUGGCCGUUCUUAGUUCGUGGAGUGAUCUGUCAGGCCAAUUCCGGUAACGAACGAGACCACUUUCUCCAUUUGACGAGCCGGAGAAGGCGUUGGUAUUGUAGAUUUUUGCUUGCAAGAGUCCAUGGUAUCAAUUCUGUAGGCAUCGUGAGGAAGCGUUGAGUGUAUUGGUCUUGGGUGGCAACACCUGGGCUGGCACGCUUUGAGUUAUCUUUGCGCUCCCUCCGGCUUAGCAGUGCAUGCUCGCAAGAGUGUGUAUUGUAUCAUGGAGAGACAACGGAAUAUACUUAAAAAAUCCGAGGAAGUGUGGCUAUAACAGGUCUGUGAUGCCCUUAGAUGUUCAGGGCUGCACGCGCGCUACAAU